RNAcentral lists this ribosomal RNA (301 nucleotides) under uncultured bacterium. Its description in RNAcentral is "partial 16S ribosomal RNA". It matches the Rfam family "Bacterial small subunit ribosomal RNA", at positions 509 to 809 of the family's 1533-position model. The record is from RNAcentral.
CAGUAGCCGCGGUAAAACGUAGGGUGCAAGCGUUAUCCGGAAUUAUUGGGCGUAAAGAGCUCGUAGGCGGUUUGUCGCGUCUGCUGUGAAAACUGGAGGCUCAACCUCCAGCCUGCAGUGGGUACGGGCAAACUAGAGUGCGGUAGGGGAGAUUGGAAUUCCUGGUGUAGCGGUGGAAUGCGCAGAUAUCAGGAGGAACACCGAUGGCGAAGGCAGAUCUCUGGGCCGUAACUGACGCUGAGGAGCGAAAGCAUGGGGAGCGAACAGGAUUAGAUACCCCUGUAGUCCCUGUCUCUUAUAU